RNAcentral lists this long non-coding RNA (376 nucleotides) under Struthio camelus australis. RNAcentral describes it as "lncRNA (ENSSCUG00000007286.1)". The record is from RNAcentral. Lineage: Eukaryota; Metazoa; Chordata; Aves; Struthioniformes; Struthionidae.
UGCCAGGUAAUAAAUUAGAGGUGGAUAUUUAGUAUUAGUUUGUUGAACUUAUCCACAGGGCCAGCUGCUAAGGUACACGGGGCAACCAGGGAUGGAGGAGCCCUCUGCGCCUCUCCUGAGCAUUUGCUGCUGCCAACCUGCCUCGGGAUUCUCGCCUGGAUCUCAGCUGGGAUGACUGAAUUUAUGAGAAUUGCAGAUCGGUAGAGACCUAACCCCCAUGUGCAGAGCACCCAGGUCCCAGAGCAGCGAUUCUGUCCCAUUUGCUGCAUAGACAACUGGACUAUAAGUCAUUACCAGUGAGUAAAUUACUGGAAGGGGCAGUCAGCAAUUCAAAUGAAGGCAAUGGGCAAUAAUGUGGUCACCUUUUGACUUGUAU